RNAcentral lists this unclassified non-coding RNA (349 nucleotides) under soil metagenome. RNAcentral describes it as "partial contains 5.8S ribosomal RNA, internal transcribed spacer 2, and large subunit ribosomal RNA". The stretch from base 1 to 119 matches the Rfam family "5.8S ribosomal RNA", at positions 35 to 154 of the family's 154-position model. The record is from RNAcentral.
GAUGAAGAACGCAGCGAAAUGCGAUAAGUAAUGCGAAUUGCAGAAUCCGUGAGUCAUCGAAUCUUUGAACGCACAUUGCACCCUCUGGUAUUCCGGAGGGCAUGCCUGUUCGAGCGUCAUUAUCACCCCUCAAGCCCGGCUUGUUGUUGGAUGCAGCGCUUAUCCCGCUCCUCCCAAAGAUAAUGACGGCGUCUGCGACGACUCCUGUACACUGAGCUUUCGGGCACGUACACGGCUAGAAGUCCAGACCCGGUCGCCGUCCCCCCCGCGGGGACACCCAUUACCACAAGGUUGACCUCGGAUCAGGUAGGAAUACCCGCUGAACUUAAGCAUAUCAAUAAGCGGAGGA